RNAcentral lists this ribosomal RNA (239 nucleotides) under uncultured bacterium. Its description in RNAcentral is "partial 16S ribosomal RNA". It matches the Rfam family "Bacterial small subunit ribosomal RNA", at positions 117 to 353 of the family's 1533-position model. The record is from RNAcentral.
GUGGGUAACCUGCCUUAUAGUGGGGGAUAGCCUUUCGAAAGGAAGAUUAAUACCGCAUAAGAUUGUAGUAUCGCAUGAUAUAGCAAUUAAAGGAGCAAUCCGCUAUAAGAUGGACCCGCGUCGCAUUAGCUAGUUGGUGAGGUAAUGGCUCACCAAGGCGACGAUGCGUAGCCGACCUGAGAGGGUGAUCGGCCACAUUGGGACUGAGACACGGCCAGACUCCUACGGGAGGCAGCAUG